RNAcentral lists this ribosomal RNA (253 nucleotides) under uncultured bacterium. Its description in RNAcentral is "partial 16S ribosomal RNA". It matches the Rfam family "Bacterial small subunit ribosomal RNA", at positions 524 to 776 of the family's 1533-position model. The record is from RNAcentral.
UACAGGGGGCGCAAGCGUUGCUCGGAAUCACUGGGCGUAAAGCGAACGCAGGCGGACCGUUAAGUCGAAUGUGAAAGCCCGGGGCUCAACCCCGGAAGUGCAUUCGAAACUGGCGGUCUUGAGUACGGGAGAGGUGGGUGGAAUUCCUGGUGUAGAGGUGAAAUUCGUAGAUAUCAGGAGGAACACCGGUGGCGAAAGCGGCCCACUGGCCCGAUACUGACGCUCAUGUUCGAAAGCGUGGGGAGCAAACAGG